Non-coding RNA from Pelobates cultripes (western spadefoot toad), 237 nucleotides. The record is from the annotation of a GenBank genome assembly. Lineage: Eukaryota; Metazoa; Chordata; Amphibia; Anura; Pelobatidae.
AUUAGCUCAGUAAUAUGUGAGUGGUUCCAUUCAGAUUUUUUUGCUUCUCCAUAUUUGAUUACAGUGUCACACUAUGAGUUUAUAAUUUCUUUUCUAGGACACUAUUUCACAUUUGUGGUCUCCAUUUUUUGGAGUGACAGAUAUUCAGACUUUGGACGACUCUGUAUCUGUAUGUAGCGCUACACCUUUUCUGUGUUUGGUUUAUGUUUUGUGUAUGAGGAAAGACUACACGUGGUG